CAAUAGCGUAUAUUAAAGUUGUUGCAGUUAAAAAGCUCGUAGUUGGAUUUCGGGGUGGCCUGCCUGGUCCACCGCAAGGUGAGUACUGGUCAGCCGCCCUUCCUCUCGAAAGCCCCGACUGCUCUUCAUUGCAGUGGUCGGGUAGUUCGGGACGUUUACUUUGAAAAAAUUAGAGUGUUCAAGGCAGGCUAUCGCCUGAAUACAUUAGCAUGGAAUAAUGGAAGAGGACCUCGGUCCUAUUUUGUUGGUUUCUAGGGCCGAAGUAAUGAUUAAGAGGGACAGUUGGGGGCAUCCGUAUUUAAUUGUCAGAGGUGAAAUUCUUGGAUUUAUGAAAGACGAACUAGUGCGAAAGCAUUUGCCAAGGAUGUUUUCAUUAA
Molecule: ribosomal RNA, 377 nt
Filed under: uncultured eukaryote
Lineage: Eukaryota
Description: partial 18S ribosomal RNA
Rfam family: Eukaryotic small subunit ribosomal RNA
Source: RNAcentral